CUGCCCGAGGAGUUGAGUGGGAUUCAUAGCACGUUCCACGUGUCACAUCUCCAAAAAUGUCUAGCUGACGAAACUGCUUAUAUCCACUACGACGACAUCGAGGUGGAUAACAGUCUCAAUUACGCGGAGCACAGGAAAGGUUCGGAUACCAAAUGGGAGUCCGAGGAGGAGAUGAGACGUCUCUACCCUACACUUUUCGGUCGUUGCACAGCUAUCGGAUAUUUGGAGUACUUGGUAUAGCGACGCACUGA
Molecule: long non-coding RNA, 251 nt
Filed under: Helianthus annuus (common sunflower)
Lineage: Eukaryota; Viridiplantae; Streptophyta; Magnoliopsida; Asterales; Asteraceae
Description: sRNA HanXRQr2_Chr04g0163251
Source: RNAcentral